CUGAGAAACUCACAUUGGCGGGAAAAUUUGGGCCAGGAACGCCCGCGGGAGCUAAUAGUCGCUGGGUGGCCACUAUCAAGUCGCCUUUCUUGGAUCCUCAGAGAAGUUACCUGUGAGCUGUAGAUUCCUGUCAGUUUCUCACCGGCCCGGCCGGAUGCACCCGAGAUUCCUGGUGUACUGCUCAGCCUCUCAUUCAGCGUCCACAGAGAUUUGUGGUGUUGGGUAGCGAGAAGAACAGGACUGCAAAAAAAGACCACAAAUAAUGGUCCAUUUCUUCGUGUCAACGGUACUCUUCCUGGAGUAUCUUGUUUCUGGACAUGAUUUUCUUUCUACUUUGGAAUCCUUUUCCUUACUCCUUAUUUUCCAGGCGUUGUUGUCACUGAUCACUAUCAUUAUUAUCAGACUUUAAACUUUUUGAGGGCAUUAAUGUCUUUGCCGUCAAAACCAAGCACGAUGCCUGAAAGAAUAGGCAACUGAGGGACAUCUUCUUCCGAAAUAGGUAUUUUCCUUUUUGCGAACAUCUUUUAGUAAAUUCUCAGAGAAAAUAGUUUAGGAUAGCUCUACAAACAGCUGCCAACCUAAAAUUUACUGACUGCCAAUGAUGAGUUCUUUUCUUUACGAAGAAGAAAGGAUGAGUACCUAGACUCAGGCCUGAUGACUCCAGUAUUCCUUUACCACAUUUAGAGCUCAAGAAUCUGGAAUCAAGUGAGUGAAUUUGGCAGCCCCUUGUAUCCAGGUGGCAAUUAACACCUUGGAGAGAAAUAAAAUCACCUCACCACCACCCCUGUCCCCAACCAGAAAGAAACGUGCAUUUUCUCUUCCUUAAGGAGAACUCAGACUAAUACACCCAGUUAACAUCUUGCAAAAUUAAGGAAUCAGAACUGGAGAGAAUAAAUCAUCAGUGCCAUCAUCAUCAGUGAGAGCAGAAGCUGAAAGACUUGGAGAGAAGUCAGUGUUGAGACUUCAUGAGUAAGUAGAAACUAGAAAUAAGCAAGAGCUCUGAGCAAACAAAACCCAUGAGGCAGCAAAAAGAUAAACAGAGUAAUGACAGAAGUGAUAGAAGAUAACUAAGAAAGCAUCAGAUUCUCAGGAAAUAGAGUCAGUGGCCCUGCCUGGGUCACAGGCCAACCCUGGAGCCUGACAUACAGUAAGCUCCUCUGUUACCACAAGUGGGAGUGUGUAGCAGACAGGCAAAAAUGACUGGUGUGCACCAGCCAGGUGGAGUCAGGCUGGAGUCAGCUCCACGGAAACCAGAACCACACGAGUCAAAAUUAUGAGGGUGCAAGGAAGCCAGAAAAAUCUGAGGAAACCUGUCUGCUGAGAGAGGUAGAAACAUAUAGCAUAUGCUCAGAAACGAGCAGAGCUGGGGGGUGAUGCAACCAUGUGACAGAUGGAACUACAGCUAAUCUUCCUGUUUCAGUCUCAUCCCAGGGUGUCCUCUCUGUGCUGAUUCUUGCACUUUAGUGCCCCCAGAGAGUGCCUUUUGUUCAUAGAUCUCCUUUUCUUUUUUCUUUUUUUAAAUUGAGUAUAGUUGAUUUACCCAUAUUAUGUUAGUUUCAGGUGUACAAUUAGUGGUUCAAUAUUUUUAUACAUUAUACUCCAUCUAAAGUUAUUACAAAGUAAUGGCUAUAUUUUCUUGUGUUAUACAAUAUAUCCUUGUUGUUCAUUUGCUUUACACAUAGUAGUUGGUAUCUUUUACUCCUCUACCCCACUUGUAACUACUAGUUUGUUCUCUAUAUCUGGGAGUCUGUUUCUGUUUUGUUGUAUUCAUUUGUUUUACUUUUUAGGUUCCACAAAUAAGUGACAACAUAUGGUAUUUGUCUUUGUCUGACUUAUUUCACUAAGCAUAUUACCCUGUGGGUCCACCCACACUGUUGCAAAUGGCAGUGUUUUAUUCUUUUUAAGACUAAUAUUCCAUUUUAUAUACAUGCCACAUCUUAUGUAUCAUUCAUCUGUUGAUGGUCACUUAGGUUGCUUUCCUCAGACUACCUCUUUUUCUACUUGAGCUUGUGUAGGUAGUUUUUGAUUUAUGCUCCAGGAAUAAAGAAGGCACAUUUUGUCGGAAGUCUCUUGGUAUCUACUUAUCUCUCAGGAUUGAGCAUGGCAGACAAGGUACAAAAAGUGAAAAUGCAAGUAUGUGGUAUAAAGAGGCACUAACUAGAAUCAUGUGGUGCAUUGUGCAUACUUUCAUUUAAUCUGUAUUGUGAGGGAGGUACCAUCACCGAGGUCGACCAGAGGGUAAGUACAGUCCAUCCUCACUAUCUGUGGAUUCCGUAUUUGCAAAUUUGCCUACUCACUAAAAUUUAUUUGUAACCCCAAAUCACUACUCUCAGCACUUUAGUUAUUCACAGACAGUGCAGAGCAGUGAAAAAACAUGAGUUGUCCUAGGUGCAUAUUCCCAGCUGAAGCAAACAAGACAACUGCUCUCCCUUCUUGUUUCAGAUUACACUGUAAACAAGUUUUCCUUUUUUUUUUUUUUUUUUUUUUGUC
Non-coding RNA from Sus scrofa (pig), 2490 nucleotides. NCBI's taxonomy places the organism in Eukaryota, Metazoa, Chordata, Mammalia, Artiodactyla, Suidae. The record is from RefSeq and is a predicted model, not a curated record.